RNAcentral lists this ribosomal RNA (469 nucleotides) under uncultured bacterium. RNAcentral's name for it is "bacterial LSU rRNA". It matches the Rfam family "Bacterial large subunit ribosomal RNA", at positions 343 to 823 of the family's 2925-position model. The record is from RNAcentral.
GGGAAAGUCCGGCCAUAGCGGGUGAUAGCCCCGUAUGCGUAAAGCCCCAGUUGAUCCUUGAGUAAGGCGGGACACGUGAAAUCCUGUCUGAACAUGGGGGGACCACCCUCCAAGCCUAAAUACUCCCUGGUGACCGAUAGCGAACAAGUACCGUGAGGGAAAGGUGAAAAGCACCCCGAUGAGGGGAGUGAAAUAGACCUGAAACCGAAUGCCUACAAGCAGUCGGAGCCUCUUAUGGGGGUGACGGCGUACCUUUUGUAUAAUGGGUCAGCGAGUUUCUGUUCGCGGCAAGCUUAAGCCGAUAGGUGUAGGCGCAGCGAAAGCGAGUCUGAACAGGGCGUUCAGUCGCGGGCAGAAGACCCGAAACCGAGUGAUCUAGCCAUGGCCAGGCUGAAGGUGGGGUAACACCCACUGGAGGGCCGAACCCACGCCUGUUGAAAAAGUCGGGGAUGAGCUGUGGCUAGGGGUG